RNAcentral lists this ribosomal RNA (54 nucleotides) under Plectosphaerella cucumerina. RNAcentral's name for it is "partial 5.8S ribosomal RNA". It matches the Rfam family "5.8S ribosomal RNA", at positions 1 to 50 of the family's 154-position model. Rfam says of the family: 5.8S ribosomal RNA (5.8S rRNA) is a component of the large subunit of the eukaryotic ribosome. Lineage: Eukaryota; Fungi; Ascomycota; Sordariomycetes; Glomerellales; Plectosphaerellaceae. The record is from RNAcentral.
UCAAAACUUUUAACAACGGAUCUCUUGGCUCCAGCAUCGAUGAAGAACGCAGCA